RNAcentral lists this long non-coding RNA (315 nucleotides) under Salvia miltiorrhiza (redroot sage). Its description in RNAcentral is "long non-coding RNA (SMIL_LNC003864)". Lineage: Eukaryota; Viridiplantae; Streptophyta; Magnoliopsida; Lamiales; Lamiaceae. The record is from RNAcentral.
GUAGCUGAUCUUGUGUAAUUUCCUAAUAAUGAAUAUGGAUAGCUGUUCAUUGGAUUUGGAAUAAAAUUUUGCUGGAAUGCAAAUGAAUGUUUGAGGAUAUGAUUGUUCAUGAUGUUGAUUUUUGUUUUCCAUUGAUGUUAAGAAUAAACGAAAUGAGGCUGUGUUUUAUUGGAGUCAUGGGUUGAGAUGCAUGGGUGAUAGGAUCAAUGCUUGAAAGUGGAGAUCUUGGUACAACAGGUUGAUGGGGUUGACAAGGGUGAUAUUUUGCCUUGGUGAUGGAGUGUGAAUAAAGUUAGCAGGUAAGGGUGUUAAGGG